Molecule: ribosomal RNA, 439 nt
Filed under: uncultured bacterium
Lineage: Bacteria
Description: partial 16S ribosomal RNA
Rfam family: Bacterial small subunit ribosomal RNA
Source: RNAcentral
CUACGGGUCGCUGCAGUGAGGAAUAUUGCACAAUGGGGGGAACCCUGAUGCAGCAACGCCGCGUGAAGGAUGACGCAUUUCGGUGUGUAAACUCCUUUUAUAUGUCAAGAAAAUGACGGUAGCAUAUGAAUAAGCACCGGCUAACUCCGUGCCAGCAGCCGCGGUAAUACGGAGGGUGCAAGCGUUACUCGGAAUCACUGGGCGUAAAGGACGCGUAGGCGGGUUGGAAAGUCAGGUGUGAAAUCCUACAGCUUAACUGUAGAACUGCACUUGAAACUUCUAAUCUAGAGUAUGGGAGGGGGAGAUGGAAUUAGUGGUGUAGGGGUAAAAGCCGUAGAUAUCACUAGGAAUACCUAAAGCGAAGGCGAUCUCCUGGAACAUUACUGACGCUAAGGCGUGAAAGCGUGGGGAGCAAACAGGAUUAGAUACCCGCGUAGUC